AAUACGGGGGGAGCAAGCGUUGUUCGGAUUUACUGGGCGUAAAGGGCGCGUAGGCGGCGUGACAAGUCACUUGUGAAAUCUCCGGGCUUAACCCGGAGCGGCCAAGUGAUACUGUCGUGCUCGAGUGCGGAAGGGGCUACUGGAAUUCUCGGUGUAGCGGUGAAAUGCGUAGAUAUCGAGAGGAACACCUGCGGCGAAGGCGGGUUGCUGGGCUGACACUGACGCUGAGGCGCGAAAGCUAGGGGAGCGAACGGG
This 255-nucleotide ribosomal RNA is filed under the name uncultured prokaryote. RNAcentral describes it as "partial 16S ribosomal RNA". It matches the Rfam family "Bacterial small subunit ribosomal RNA", at positions 522 to 776 of the family's 1533-position model. The record is from RNAcentral.